GCUGAAAUAGCUCAGUUGGUAGAGCAGCGCAUUCGUAAUGCGCAGGUCGCGUGUUCGAGUCACGUUUUCAGCUCCA
Molecule: transfer RNA, 76 nt
Filed under: Oscillospiraceae bacterium
Lineage: Bacteria; Bacillati; Bacillota; Clostridia; Eubacteriales; Oscillospiraceae
Description: tRNA-Thr
Rfam family: tRNA
About the family: Transfer RNA (tRNA) molecules are approximately 80 nucleotides in length. Their secondary structure includes four short double-helical elements and three loops (D, anti-codon, and T loops).
Source: RNAcentral